Molecule: non-coding RNA, 90 nt
Organism: Mycena rosella
Lineage: Eukaryota; Fungi; Basidiomycota; Agaricomycetes; Agaricales; Mycenaceae
Source: the annotation of a GenBank genome assembly
GACUCGAUGGUGGAUGGCCCGCAACCGCUUCUGGUGUUUGUAGCAAAUGAGUGUUAGCAGGAGGUGUCGGUUCGAUUCCGGCUCGAGUCA